UACGGAGGGAACUAGCGUUGUUCGGAUUUACUGGGCGUAAAGAGCGCGUAGGCGGUUUAUUAAGUUAGAAGUGAAAGCCCAGGGCUUAACCCUGGAACUGCUUCUAAAACUGAUAGACUAGAGUACGGGAGAGGAUAGUGGAAUUCCUAGUGUAGAGGUGAAAUUCUUAGAUAUUAGGAGGAACACCGGUGGCGAAAGCGACUAUCUGGAACGUUACUGACGCUGAGGCGCGAAAGCGUGGGGAGCAAACAGG
This 253-nucleotide ribosomal RNA is filed under the name uncultured bacterium. RNAcentral describes it as "partial 16S ribosomal RNA". It matches the Rfam family "Bacterial small subunit ribosomal RNA", at positions 524 to 776 of the family's 1533-position model. The record is from RNAcentral.